Molecule: long non-coding RNA, 224 nt
Filed under: Mytilus galloprovincialis (Mediterranean mussel)
Lineage: Eukaryota; Metazoa; Mollusca; Bivalvia; Mytilida; Mytilidae
Source: RNAcentral
AUCAUAAUAACACAAAAAAUAUGAACGGUUACCAUUGUAUAUGUUUAGCAUAUAGAAAAUAUGAACACGGGAGGGUAUCGAAUGCUCACUGGAUCACUCCUAUCACAAAAUGUCUAUUUGCCCCGAUCAGACAAUUUUGCUAUUUUCAUGUUAAUUAAAUACUGUUAUAGAACACAGCCUUCCAAAUACCGUUUCGAUCCCUAACAUCACUGAAGAGACAUUUA